RNAcentral lists this transfer RNA (75 nucleotides) under Methanosphaera sp. SHI613. RNAcentral describes it as "tRNA-His". It matches the Rfam family "tRNA". Rfam says of the family: Transfer RNA (tRNA) molecules are approximately 80 nucleotides in length. Their secondary structure includes four short double-helical elements and three loops (D, anti-codon, and T loops). The record is from RNAcentral. RNAcentral also lists the same sequence under 2 other names. Lineage: Archaea; Methanobacteriati; Methanobacteriota; Methanobacteria; Methanobacteriales; Methanobacteriaceae.
GCUGAGGUAGGAUAGUGGUUAUUCUUCAAGCCUGUGGAGCUUGUGACUCGGGUUCAAAUCCCGGCCUCGGCCCCA